AACGAACGCUGGCGGCAUGCCUAACACAUGCAAGUCGAACGAGACCUUCGGGUCUAGUGGCGCACGGGUGCGUAACGCGUGGGAACCUGCCCUUAGGUUCGGAAUAACUCCCCGAAAGGGGUGCUAAUACCGGAUAAUGUCUUCGGACCAAAGAUUUAUCGCCUUUGGAUGGGCCCGCGUUGGAUUAGCGAGUUGGUAGGGUAAAAGCCUACCAAGGCGACGAUCCAUAGCUGGUCUGAGAGGAUGAUCAGCCACACUGGGACUGAGACACGGACCAGAAUCCUACGGGAGGCAGCAGUGGGGAAUAUUGGACAAUGGGGGAAAGCCUGAUCCAGCAAUGCCGCGUGAGUGAUGAAGGCCUUAGGGUUGUAAAGCUCUUUUACCCGGGAUGAUAAUGACAGUACCGGGAGAAUAAGCUCCGGCUAACUCCGUG
RNAcentral lists this ribosomal RNA (433 nucleotides) under uncultured bacterium. RNAcentral's name for it is "partial 16S ribosomal RNA". It matches the Rfam family "Bacterial small subunit ribosomal RNA", at positions 29 to 507 of the family's 1533-position model. The record is from RNAcentral.